This 513-nucleotide ribosomal RNA is filed under the name uncultured soil bacterium. Its description in RNAcentral is "bacterial SSU rRNA". It matches the Rfam family "Bacterial small subunit ribosomal RNA", at positions 26 to 530 of the family's 1533-position model. The record is from RNAcentral.
AGAUUGAACGCUGGCGGCAUGCCUAACACAUGCAAGUCGAACGGCAGCGCGGGUAGCAAUACCUGGCGGCGAGUGGCGGACGGGUGGGGAAUACAUAGGAAUCUACCCUGUCGUGGGGGAUAACGUAGGGAAACUUACGCUAAUACCGCAUACGACCGAGAGGUGAAAGCGGCGGACCGCAAGGCGUCGCGCGGCUGGAUGAGCCUAUGUCCGAUUAGCUAGUUGGCGGGGUAAGAGCCCACCAAGGCGACGAUCGGUAGCUGGUCUGAGAGGAUGAUCAGCCACACUGGGACUGAGACACGGCCCAGACUCCUACGGGAGGCAGCAGUGGGAAUAUUGGACAAUGGGACGCAAGCCUGAUCCAAGCAAUGCCGGCGUGGGUGAAGAAGGCCUUACGGUUAGUAAAGCCCUUUUAGUACCGGGUAAAGAAAAGACGGUUAGGUUAAAGUUACCCGGCCGUUGAUGAACGGUAACCGUAAGAAUAAGACGUACCGGACUAACGUUCGUAGACCG